Molecule: ribosomal RNA, 324 nt
Filed under: uncultured Lactococcus sp.
Lineage: Bacteria; Bacillati; Bacillota; Bacilli; Lactobacillales; Streptococcaceae
Description: bacterial SSU rRNA
Rfam family: Bacterial small subunit ribosomal RNA
Source: RNAcentral
AGAGUUUGAUCGUGGCUCAGGACGAACGCUGGCGGCGUGCCUAAUACAUGCAAGUUGAGCGCUGAAGGUUGGUACUUGUACCGACUGGAUGAGCAGCGAACGGGUGAGUAACGCGUGGGGAAUCUGCCUUUGAGCGGGGGACAACAUUUGGAAACGAAUGCUAAUACCGCAUAAAAACUUUAAACACAAGUUUUAAGUUUGAAAGAUGCAAUUGCAUCACUCAAAGAUGAUCCCGCGUUGUAUUAGCUAGUUGGUGAGGUAAAGGCUCACCAAGGCGAUGAUACAUAGCCGACCUGAGAGGGUGAUCGGCCACAUUGGGACUGA